RNAcentral lists this long non-coding RNA (3672 nucleotides) under Citrus sinensis (sweet orange). Its description in RNAcentral is "long non-coding RNA (CSIN_LNC000844)". Lineage: Eukaryota; Viridiplantae; Streptophyta; Magnoliopsida; Sapindales; Rutaceae. The record is from RNAcentral.
UAACUUGUUAUGUCAUAAUAACUUUGGUGGGAAAAUGAUAAUUUUUCAAAAAAAAAAACGCAAAUUAAAGAAAUCUCUAAUGGAUAUACAAAAAAUACAAAGAAAAUCUUAGAACUAUUAUUCAAAUACAAUGGCCGGGAAGUUGCUUUGUAAUGAAGAACAUCAUUAUACUACAACAACCAAAAUACUAAUGAAUAAAUAUGUAGUGGUGGUAGAGGGUUUUGUGAACGGUGGGAAUGGGAGGAUUGUGUGGCUGCAAUUUUGGGGUAAAUCCUUGCACUUGAGCACCUACCACAAUCCAUAGUCCCGGUGUUGACGUGCUGUCGUUGGUCCAGAUCAUGGCCGCAACUGCUGUGGCUCCUGAAGAAGAUGAAAUAAGGAGAAAAUAAAGAGAAAUCAUAAAUGAGUGGGACUAUUGGCACCCCUCUAAAUACCUCUUAACGGCUCUUUUCUUUAUUAACCCUAUUAAAAUAUUUUAAAAUAUUAAAAAAUUCUUUUAACACCUCCUUUAAUGACAAAAAUACCCUUAAUUAAGAUCUAUUAGUAUAAAUCCCAUUCUUUAAUUCUUAUUUAUUUUUUUCCUACACCAAUAUUCUCGGACUUGCUAAGGAACACACUUUCGUAUUUAAACUAGCACCACUUCAUUGCAUCUUCCUUUAUGACGUAGUCCAGAACAGUUGGUUCUCUAAGUCAUUUUAUUUAUUUUUUAAAAUUAAUUGUUACAUUCUUAUUUAGUUCAUAAUUUUAUUGAUCCCUUGGUUGUGGAUUUUUGAGACAAUUAAUCAUCCAUUAAAAAGUAGUGAGAGAGAGGGAGAGAGAAGGAAAAGAAACUAUUUUUCCACGAAACUUCUUCUUUGAUGUGGAAAAUCAUUGGCACACUACAUGACAAACACUUUGCUCCAAUGCAUGACAAAUCAUUCUAAUUGACGAUGACGCUUAGCAAACACUUGGCUACCAUGCAUGCAAUUCUAAGGCCAAAUGUUAUUUGGUUUAUCGACGGAUAUCUGAAACUUAAUUUCUCUCAUGGGGUUUGAAAGUUUCUUCUCUAAAGCCAUUUGGGUUUGCUAAUGAUGAAAUUUUGAUCUUUUAUUCAUUCAUUCGUUUAAUCAGUUUGCAUGGUUAUUUUCUUCUAAAUUUGAAAUUCUUAAAUGAAAAUAUGCUAUAUAAAGAAUUUUAAAGACAAAAAAAUUAUUUAAUUUUUGAGUGGGGUUUAAUUCGAAAUUGUCCUAUUAUGUAAUUUUAAUAAAAGUUAAAAUUGAAAAAUAAUUAAAGGGGUGUUAAGAGGUAUUUGGAGAGGUGCCAAUAAUCCCAUUCACUGUUAAUUUAAGUAUUUAACAAUAACUUUUAACAAAAUGGGUGCAUUUUGAUUAAGGUUGAAAUUCUUGGAUUUAAUUUGAUAAAGGUCAUUUUAAUGGGCGCCAAUUGAAAUUAACUCUUAUUUUCUAAAGAACGGUAAUCUUGAAAACACAUGGGAUUAAUGGAAAGGCAAGGGUUGUUGAGAUAACUAAAAGUGGUGAAAUAUCAUUACUAAAAAUGAAUAUGGGUCAAGUGGACUAUGUAACAAAGAUAAAUUCAAAAAGCCUAAGACUAUCUACACUAAUUAUUAUUAGAGCAGUGAUAUUUAGACCCUUAUUCUAUUUCAAUAGUCUCCUUUUUAAAUUAUUUUAUUUAUUUCCCAAAUUACCCUUUUUUUCCUUUUUUUUUUCUCUUUUUAACUCAACAACUUAAUUGCAACUAGAUUUGGAAAUUGGCUCUUUCGGUAUUUGUGGCCUUUAAUCUUCUAGCAAUAAAUAUGGGUGAUGAAAAUAUUUUUGGGUUGUCUAGGUUCUUAGUUCAUCGUAAGAUACGAAAUGUUUGGUAUCUCGCAACCACGUCAUUCUCAUUUUCUAGGUAUAUCGGUUGGAAACCCGAGCAUGCGGACUACUGGUCUAAAGGAUAACUCUAUUAUCAUUGCUCUGGUAUAACAAUGCCACGCACCAAAAAUUCUUGAAUCUUUGUAAGAGAAGAGUUUACAUUAAUUUCUCAUGUUACAGGUGUGAUGAUAAGCCUGAAGAUAUUAAUCAUGCUUUGUUUCCAUUUUAGGUACUUGGCUUGUUAGAGUGUAGCAAGAUUUGGUAUGACUCCAUUUUUUAACAUCAUGAAGAUUGUUGCUCAUAUGAAUUACUCUUUACUCACGUCUCAUGUGGCUAUUGUUGGUUCUCUUGCAGAGAAUGAAUUUGAGAAUUAGCCAGGUAGUUUAAGACACUGGAUGGAGUUAAAAAAUCUAUUGUUAUGAUAGGUGUUCGAUAUGAGGACAAAAUAAAGAAAAGUGGAGGAUAAUGAGAGAGAAGAAGAGAGAAUGAAUGGUGCAUUUGAAAAUUCAAAUUAUCUUGAUGGGUAUUAUAGUUAUUUCAAAUUAAAAUGAGAAAGGUAAAGGCUGAUGGGAUAAACUGAAGGGAUUAAAUCACUAUUCUUAUUACCAAGCAACCAAAAAUAAGACAACCCUAGUGGGCAGCAACAAAAAAUGGAAUUGGCCUAUUCAAAGCAAAGUUCCAGCUCAUCUAUAUACUACUAACAUGUCAUGAUGAUGAUUUUCUUUUUGUUUGAGUGGUGCUACUAUCACACCUCCACUUACUCUUGUUUAUAAUUUUAUCCCUAACUAAAAUUAUUGCUCCACACCCACAUCCUCAGCCAAAUACAACAUAAACAAGGAUGGUAAAAUUCAGAUCUAGGUUCAAGUUUGGCCUUCCCAAUUCCGGACUUGGAUGACAAAUCAUCUUACCAGAUCCGGAUGUAAACACAAAUUUUUUCACUCAAAGUCCAAUCGGGGUUCAACAAAAAACAAUAUGAGUUUCUGGAUUGCGGGUAUUAAACUUGGUAAUUGGAUGAAGGCUGAAACAAUAGACUUCAUGGAUGUCACUUUUGGGCUCUUUUGGAAUUGCAGAACUAGAAAAAUAGUAGGACGAAUUCAGGGGAUCUCAACUAAAUUUGCUUAUUUCAAUAAAAAAAAGUUAACAAUUACAUCGAUAUUAUGUGUUAAAAUGCUGCAUUUGGCUAUUCACAACAACAAAAAAAUUAAUAAUUACCAAACUAAGUAAAAUCAAGAUAUUAAAAAAGAAAUACAUAAAAAGGAAAAAAAAACUUACUUUGAUUGUUCAUGUUGCAGCUAAGGUGGCGAUGGGUGUUUAAUUGCAGUGAGAAAUGUGACCGACGGGAAAAGGUUAGCGACUAGACGAGAUUGAAUUUGACGACGGCGGAGCUUGGUUUUGUUCGUUGUUCUUGAUGAUAAUGGAUGAUGGACUGCUGAUGAUUUAAAUUGAUGAUGUAUUGAUGGAAUAUUGAUUUGCCAUCCCUAAACACAACCGAAAGAGACAAAUCCAAACCCUCAAGAUUUCAAUGAUGGAAGAUUAUAUGAAAACAAUGGGUAUGGCGUAAUAGAAUAAGAACAGGAAACCAAUUGGGAGUGAGGCAAAUCAAAACAUAAUUCCUCUCAAAUGCAAGUAAAGCAAGUAGUGACUUAAGAAACUAGAAGACCAUUGAGAAUGCAGAGUCGAGGUAAACAUUAUAAAAUAUGACUUUCGUUGAUAUAAAUAAUCUUAAAUAUGAAAAACUAUUAAACGAUAACCUUUUUGUAUUUACUUAAUCCAAACUUUGAAAUAAGCUUCAUUCAAUCCAAUUAAAUUUCAUUUUUUU